RNAcentral lists this transfer RNA (77 nucleotides) under Felis catus (domestic cat). It matches the Rfam family "tRNA". From Rfam's summary of the family: Transfer RNA (tRNA) molecules are approximately 80 nucleotides in length. Their secondary structure includes four short double-helical elements and three loops (D, anti-codon, and T loops). Further hydrogen bonds mediate the characteristic L-shaped molecular structure. tRNAs have two regions of fundamental functional importance: the anti-codon, which is responsible for specific mRNA codon recognition, and the 3' end, to which the tRNAs corresponding amino acid is attached (by aminoacyl-tRNA synthetases). tRNAs cope with the degeneracy of the genetic code in two manners: having more than one tRNA (with a specific anti-codon) for a particular amino acid; and 'wobble' base-pairing, i.e. permitting non-standard base-pairing at the 3rd anti-codon position. Lineage: Eukaryota; Metazoa; Chordata; Mammalia; Carnivora; Felidae. The record is from Rfam by way of RNAcentral. RNAcentral also lists the same sequence under 2 other names.
GCCUGGGUGGCUCAGUCGGUUGAGCGUCCGACUUCGACUCAGGUCACGAUCUCAGGGUUCGAGCCCUGCGUCGGGCU